This 465-nucleotide ribosomal RNA is filed under the name uncultured bacterium. Its description in RNAcentral is "partial 16S ribosomal RNA". It matches the Rfam family "Bacterial small subunit ribosomal RNA", at positions 28 to 507 of the family's 1533-position model. The record is from RNAcentral.
GACGAACGCUGGCGGCGUGCUUAACACAUGCAAGUCGAACGGAAAGGCCCUGCUUGCAGGGUACUCGAGUGGCGAACGGGUGAGUAACACGUGGGUGAUCUGCCCUGCACUUCGGGAUAAGCCUGGGAAACUGGGUCUAAUACCGGAUAGGAGCCAUUUUUAGUGUGAUGGUUGGAAAGUUUUUUCGGUGUAGGAUGAGCUCGCGGCCUAUCAGCUUGUUGGUGGGGUAAUGGCCUACCAAGGCGGCGACGGGUAGCCGGCCUGGGAGGGUGGACGGCCACAUUGGGACUGAGAUACGGCCCAGAAUCCUACGGGAGGCAGGAGUGGGGAAUAUUGCACAAUGGGCGCAAGCCUGAUGCAGGGACGCCGCGUGGGGGAUGACGGCCUUCGGGUUGGAAACUCCUUUCGCUAGGGAAGAAGCUUUUUGUGACGGUACCUAGAUAAGAAGCACCGGCUAACUACGUG